UUUAAUAAUAUGACAUUUAAUUCUUAUCAUAGCUAGUAUUCUCAAACAUCGUUAUCAUUCCCACCUAACAAAAAAAUUCUAAUUCUUGUUCUAGAUUUUGAGAUGGUUGUUUUUGGUCAUUUAACUGGGGGGCUUGGGUUUGAGCCAAAUGUUGGGAUGAAGAUUUUGGGAUAGCAAUUCCCUAAUUUAUUUUCUUAAGAUACUUACUAAGAGCAUAGACUGUAACGACCCAAAAUUACUAAUAAGGCUUAAGGGCCUUGAUUAGUGUGCCAGGAGGACAUAAUUGGAAGUUAUGUAAAUUAAUGGUAAAAAUGCAUGAUUAUGUGAUAUGCAUGAUCCUAUGAUUAUAUGGAUAUGUGGAAUGCAUGUUUAUGAAUAUUAGAUAAGCAUGCGGGCCCUGUUUAGUCUGUAAGGGCAUAAUUGUAAUUUUGGCCUGUUAGGGCAUAAAUGUGAUUAUUUGUGAUAAUUGUUGAGACCAUAUUAUUAUGUGGAUAUAUAUUUGCAGUCUUCGGCACGAGGUGAUCCUAGGUAGCAAGUAACGGGAAAGUCACAACAGGACCCGGUACCUGACUCGGGGCGAGCCAAGGGUUAUUUUGGGUAAUGGACAUUUAUUUAGGUUAUUGAGUUAUGAAAAUAAAUAAUUGGACAUAUAUUUGAGUUUAGGAAGCCUAGGUGGGAAUACCGGGGAAUUUUACCAUUUUUCCCUAAGGACGUUUUCGGUACCCUGAGCCUUGGGAUUAACUUAAGAGGCUUAAGUUAGAUAAGACAAAGGAAAAAAGAAAUGUUUGGAAGAAUGCCAUAACCGACUCCCUCUUUCUCUCCCCUUCUCUCAAGGAGUUCCUUCAAGCUUGCCAUGGAACCAAGGGAAUUUUGGCUAGGAACUCAGGGAUUUGAGCUGGAGUUGUGGGGAGAAUUUCUGUGGCAAUUUGAAGGUUCAACCAAGAAUUUAGAUUAAAUUGAUGCUAAAGACAUGGGAGUUAGCUCAGCUAUUUCUUGGAGGUUUGGUUCUUCAGUGAAGGUAAAGGCAAGGGUAAGAUGAGUUGACCAUGGGUUGGAGAGCUCCGAGGAUGAGAUGUACAUUGUCAGCUACUCGAUCGCCAUGGUCGAGGGUUUGUACAGAGACAGAAACCUAAAACGUGUAUUUUUCCAUUAGAGUGGCUUGAUUAUUUAUAAGAUUUGAAAAUUAUGUAAUUAUGUUGUUUAAACCAUAAUUUGGGAUCCCAUGUACCAAACAUUUAUCUAAAUGAAAAUUAUUCGUUUAUAACAAAAAUCUU
Humulus lupulus (European hop) is the source of this 1274-nucleotide long non-coding RNA. RefSeq lists it as uncharacterized. Lineage: Eukaryota; Viridiplantae; Streptophyta; Magnoliopsida; Rosales; Cannabaceae. The transcript has 3 exons. The record is from RefSeq and is a predicted model, not a curated record.